Long non-coding RNA from Mirounga angustirostris (Northern elephant seal), 9807 nucleotides. RefSeq lists it as uncharacterized. NCBI's taxonomy places the organism in Eukaryota, Metazoa, Chordata, Mammalia, Carnivora, Phocidae. The record is from RefSeq and is a predicted model, not a curated record. The transcript has 3 exons.
GCCGACAGCACCUGCGGGUUCCAGCGCGCGGGCUGCUGGAGGGCAUCCUGGCGGCGUCUCACCUCAGCGAGUCUGGGCAUUGGCUGGCGGUAGGAAGCAGGCGAGGCGCCGGAGGAUAGGGGAUGGUGAAGGAGGAAGCACCGGGGAUAUGGGACAAUGGCUGAGAAAAGUAGCGCGAGCUGUCGGGAGAAAUCGGAGGGAAGGGACAGCGUGCGCGCCGACUGCGUCCUGAAGCGGGGGGCUGAGGGCAGCACGCACUUUACCCUUUUAAAGUUUUAUUUCUUGGGAACCCAAUUUGAAGGAAUUUUGUUGAUUUUGUUGCUAUUUAAACAAAAGGAGAAACGCCCACCAUCUGAAUGCAGCGUUGGCUUUAAAGGUCUACGGGAGACACUAGCCGGCCCCAUCAGUUAGCUGCCUCCACUGGAAACCGCCUGGAAAAGCAAAAGGUCGUGGAAAGUAUUAAAGCAUAUGAAGUCCGGGAUUCAAAACAGCAGACCUUAACCGUAGUUAACUAGAUGGUUCAGCGGCCUGGUCACCAGGCCAGCUGACUCGGGAACGGAGCUUAACCAAAGCCAGAGAGGGGUGCUGGAGGCGGGGGGUGGGGUAGGGCACUGACUCCCACCUUUGAAAGCUUGUCUUGCAAUGCCUAAUCAGCUCUCUGAGGUUACUAAAAGGGAGAGCCAACAAGCCAGGUGCCGGGUUUCUCCAACCUGCUUUUCCCUUUCUGUUUCUCCUUUCUUUCCACCCUUCCAAUAAAAGAUGCCUAGUGAAGAAGGACACAAGAAAAAGUAAAUAUACAAAUAAAAGCUGCUUAGAUGCUCCAAAUUUGAUUAAAUUGAUUGGGUGCAGAAGAGAAAUCUAGAUGGCUUUAGCAAAUGUCUUUGUUGACCUGCAAAUGUCAGGUUUUUGUUUUUGUUUUUUCAGACUUUCUCCACAGCAUCAAUUUUACAUGUCUGAAGAUGAUUGAAAAGUAAGAGUGGAUUGUCGGGGUGGGGGGGGGCGCAAACCCUCAGGGUGAUAACAUAAGGUUUUCUAUUAUAGGGGGACUCCCAGUUACCCUAAUGCUCUAGCAUGGAGUGAUGGAUCAUUGACUGGAGAAAGCCUUAGGCUCUAGGCCUCAGGCUGGGCCUCUACCCUUUAAGGAUGAGUCAAAGCCCCAGCUCUGGGAUCACUCUGAUUUAGGAAGACCAUAAAAGAAAAAUCUCACUUUGAUGCUGGCAUUCUAACUCUAGCCAUAUGUUAAGCAGUAGCUCCUUUGUGGAAUUCGGUCCUUUAUUACUGGGAAGUUGGAAGACUAUGCACUUUUCCCCUCAGGGAGGUAUCACUAUUUAGGGAACCCAGUAAAGGGGAAAAAAAUACUACUCUAAUGGUCUCCCAAGGGAAUUCCAGUGGUUGAUAGCCUCUGCCACCAGGCUUAUGGCCCCUGAGAUGUAACAGUAACCACAAAACAACGGCCAUAAUAGAUAAGCCCUUGGAAAAGAGUAUUUAUAUUGUUGCCAUGUGACUCAGGUUUUGACUAAAAUCUAUAAGGGUAACAAGGACAUAUGAAUAGCAAAACAAUAAAUGAAAAGGAACAGAAUAUUAAAUUGAUUCAAAUAACAUCAGGGAUACAGUUGGUACUGGCCACAUGGUAAAUCAUUUAUUCAUCCCCCGUAUUUCUUCGGAAGCUAGAGUGCUGCUGGCAAGAACAUGACCCAUUUUCAGUUCCACACCAUAAAUGUGGUAACAUGAUCUGAUUAUGCUUAGGCAAUAUUUAAGAAUAUUCAAGUGCAAAUUAAUAUAUUAUUACUUAACUUUGAAUUUAAGCAAAUAUGUUUAUUAUUAAUGAAGAAACCCCUCCUCCAAACUGCCCUGGGGCUUUCUCCAACACAGACUGCUUUUUUAAUGUUAAGUCUUUUUAUGGACCCAUAAGCUUUAAUUAGAUAUACAGCACUCUACAAAACGACAAGAUGGAGCAUGCAGGUUUGCAUUACAGUCUCUGUGAUUCAGAUCUCAAACAUAACAUAAUGCCACCAAUUUAAAGAAGAAGUUGUUUAUUGGAAGGCAACCAGGGAGAUGCUACGAAUUAGUUCAAGAUGUGAAAAGCAAGCAGAUUCUUGAAAGAAUUGCAAUUUUCAUCUUGGGACACCCUCCCCCCACACACACAUACACAUAAAAAGCAUCAUAUUGUCUUCUCCAGAUAUUGUUAGUUUUCAUAAUUUGUAAAAAAUUUAAAAUAUAUUUAAAGCAAUAGAUAUUGAGUACUCAUCUACAGUUCAGUUUCAAGGUGUGACAUGGUAAAGAUUUUCAUUUACAUAUUUAAUUAGUCAUUUUAUACAUUGAUACUCGUGCAUUUCUAAAUCCUGGCUUCAUCCCAGUAGGACCAAAAUAAUACUUCAUUGGAAUGGCCCACAGAGUUCCUGAAAGACUUUCCCUUACCACCCCCUUGGCAUCAGUUAGCACGUUUCACUUUUGUAUCUCAGAUGUCAGUUAAGGCCAACCUGUGUGUGUGUGUGUGUGUGUGUGUAAUAUAUUUUUGAUAGUUGCAAACAAAGAUUGAAAAUGCCAGCCCUUAACUCUGUUUGUAACCUGUGACCUAGGAGAUAUGCCUGUCAUUGCCUGGCAUUGAAUCCCAGCCCCAUCACUUAAUGCUAUAUGGCUUUGGGCAGGUUGCUUAACUGUUUUCUCCUCUGUAACACUGGGAUGGCAGUGAUAAUGAUACCUUUCUUAUAAAGUUGGUAUAAAGCCACUGGUAAACUUGCUGUAAAGCAAUCGUUCUCAAAGUGUGCUCCCUCGACCAGCAGUAUCAGCUUCUUCUGGGAACUGAAUCAAAAUGCAAAUUCUCAGGCUCCGCUCCAGAUGUACUAAAUCAAAAACUGUGGUGAUUCUCAUGCAAGUUAGAGUUUGAGAACCACUGUUGAUGGGAUUAAGUGAGUUUAUUUGAAGUAUUAAAACAGUGCCUGGGACACAGUAAGUGGUAUAUUAAUGAGUAUGUUUAAAUGAGUACAAUAUGAUGUUGCCAAGAUUUACAAAGUUUAAUUUAGGCCUAAAGAAGCAUGCCCAUGUUCUCUGGCAAGUAAACUCCUUCUUAAUCCCAUGUCCAAAAGCUUUAACAUGGCCUGCCAAACCCUUCAUAAUGUGGUCCCCACCUUCCUUUCCUGCUUUUUCUAUUCUCCAUGUGUGCCACAUCUCCAGCCUUCCCUGUUCUCAAACGGAACUGCUUUUUCACAUCUUCAAGACUUUGCCGAUUCUGUUCCCUCUGCCUGGAAAUGCCCCUCUUCCCCCCACUUCCCACACUUGCAAUCUCCUGAAUUCCUGCUUAUGCUUCAGAACCUAACUGCAGUGUCCAACCUCUUCUGUGGUGCCCCAGCCCGCACCCAGUCAGAGCCAAAGACUAUCUGGACCCAUACCUCCCUGCGCAACCCGCUUAGAGCAUUUAUCAUUGGCUGUUGUAAUUGUUUACUUUCCCAUUUUCUGCCUUUGGCUCUUCAACUCAUAGAAAACAAGGAUUUUAUUUCAUUUAAAAUUCUAUUCAUGCCACUUGGCCCUGACGUUUCAAGAGGGCGGCCCAAGGACUUAUACUACAGACUUCGGCUAUCACUGCAGACUUGGGGUAUUUUUUUUUCACAAAGAUCUUUUAAGAAUUUGAACUAGUUGUGAGCAUUUUAAACUUGGGAGAUUUAAUUUUUAUGUUUAAUCACUUUAUUGAGGUCUGAUUUGCAUAUUGUAAAGUUCACCCAGAAUACAUGGUAAUUCAGUGAUUUUUAGUAAAUUUACAAAGUUGUGCAGCCAUCACCUUAAUCCAGUUUUAAAAUAUUUCUAUCUCUCCCAAAAAGUCUUCUCAUGUGUAUAUGCAGUCAUUCACACUCCAAUUUCAAGUCCUAAGCGACCAGUAAUUUGUUUUCUAUCUCUGUAGGUUUGCCUUUCUAGAAAUGUUAUAUAAAUAGAAUUAUACAAUGUGUAGUCUGUAGUGUCAGGCUUUUUUCACUUAGCAUAAGAUUUAUCCAUUUUGUAGUUCAUGUAGUUGUAUCAGUUCAUUCCUUUAUAUUGCUGAAUAAUAUUCCAUUAUAUAGAUAAACUACACUUUAUUUCCACAUUUUUGCUAUUGUGGAUAAUGCUGCCAUACAUAAUUAUAUAAACUCUAAAGGGGGACAUGUUUUCAUUUUUCUUGGGUAUAUUUCUGGGUCGAAUUAUUGGGUCAUGUCAUAACUCUUUAACAUUUUAAGGAAGUGACAAAUUAUUUUCUAAAGUGACUUACUAUUUUAUAUUCCCAUCAUCAAUAUAUGAGGGCUCUAGUUUCUCCACAUCCUUGGCAACACUUGACAUUAUUUGACCUUUAGGUUAUCACUAUUCUAAUAAAAGUGUAGAGGUAUCUCACUAUGAUUUUAAUUUGCAUUUCUCUGAUGACCAACAAUGUUGAUCAUGUUUUCAUGUGCUUUCUAGUCAUUCAUAUAUCUUCUUUGGUGAAAGAUCUAUUCGAAUCUUUUGCCCAUUUUUAAUUGGGUUGUUUGUCUUAAUGAGUUUUAAGAAUUUUUUACAUAUUUCAGAUACAAGCCGUUAAUUAGAUAUAUGAGUUGCAAAUAUUUUCUCCCAGACUGUGGUUUGUCUUCUCAUAUUUUUAAUAUCUUUAAAUGUGCCAAAGUUUUGCAUUUUGAUGAAUUCCAAUUUAUCAAAUUUUUCGUUUUUAUGAAUCAUGUUUUGGAUGUCAUAUCUAAGAAAUUUUUGCCUAAGCCAAAAUCAAACGAUUUUUCUCCUGUGGUUUUUUUUUUUUUAAAGAUUUUAUUUAUUUAUUUGAGAGAGAGAGAAUGAAAGACAGAGAGCAUGAGAGGGAGGAGGGUCAGAGAGAGAAGCAGACUCCCCGCUGAACAGGGAGCCUGAUGUGGGACUCGAUCCCGGCACUCCAGGAUCGUGACCUGAGCCGAAGGCAGUCGCUUAACCAACUGAGCCACCCAGGCGCCCCUCUCCUGUGUUUUUUUUUCAAGUUUAUAGUUCAAUUUGACAAUUUUGUCUAUAAUCCAAUUUGAAUUAAUUGUUCUACAUGAUGUAAAGUGUCUACAUAUUUUAUCAAUUAAUUCAUUUAUUGCAUGUGGAUAGUCAAUUGCCCCUGAACCAUUUGUCAAAGAGUAUCAUUUCCCAAUUAAAUUGCCUUGUCACCUUCAUUGAAAAUCUAUUUACCAUAAUGUAAGGAUUUUCUGGACUUCCUAUUCAUUUCUACUGAUCUAUAUGUCUAUCCUUACACCACUGUGACAUGGUCUUUGACUACAUUAAGUUUUUAAAAUGGGCAGAAUAAGUCCUCCAAAUAUGUUGCUCUUUUUCAAAAUUGUUUUGCUAUUCUAGGUAUGUUGCAAUGCCAUGUAAACUUUAGGAGCAGCUUGUCAAUUUCUACCAAAACAGUUUUUUUGGAAUGGGAUUUUUAUUGGAGUUGUGUUGUAUGUACAGAUCAAUUUAGGGAGAAUUGCCAUCUUAACAAUAAUGGGUCUCAACAGUUCAUGAACAUGGUAUAUCUCCCCAUUUAUUUAGAUCUUUUAAAAUUUCUGUCAGCAAUGUUUUGUAGUUUUUAGGUGUUACACAUCUUUUUUUACCUUUAUUUCUAAGGGUAAUUUAGGUAACAAAAGAUGUGUAUUUCUAAGGGUAACAAAAUAGCACUUUUUAGUGCUAUUAUGAAUUGCAUUAUUUUCUUUAUUUCUAGGUUGUUCAUUAUCAGAGUAUAGAAAUGUUGAUUUUUAUAUCCUCCAACAUUCUCACUUGUUAGUUCUAGUUGGUGUUUUCAGAUUCACUAGUAUUUUCCAGAAGCAGGAUCAUAUCAUCUAAAAAUAAAGACAGUUUUAUUUCUUCUUUUCCAGUCUGAAUGCCUUUAAUUUCUUUUUCUUAUCUUCUUGACAGCCUAUAACUUACCAUAUGAUAUUGAAUAGAAGUGGUUAGUUCUUCAGGUUGCCUGGCUCCAUCAGUAGAGCAUGCGACUCUUGAUCUCAGAACAGUGCGAAGAUUGAAUGGCUUCUGUGAACCUGUAGCCACAAGGUAUUCUGGCGUCAUAUGGAUCACUACAGCUCAACGGUGGUGUCUGUCAUGAUGAAAGUGAGACUGCUCUGUCCCCGUGCAGACAGGAGAUGGGACACUUGGCCACACAGUGGGAGUUGGCAUCUGAUAACUGAACGGAGCUGAGCCGAGCCAUCAGGGCACGGAUGUCAAAACAGCUGAUAUCAUUUCCUUAGAGCAGCCUUACAAAUAAAGCUUUACUCAUUUCCAGCUCACAAUUCUUUGAACUGUCCCACCCUGCUUCAAAAUCAAGGAAUAUUAGACAUUAUGUAAAAAAGAAAAAAAAAAGGGGCACCUGAGUGGCUCAGUCAGUUUAGCAUCAGAUUCUUGAUCUCAGCUCAGGUCAAGAUCUCAUGGAUCCUGGGAGUACACUUGAAGAUUCUCUCCUUCUGCCCCUCCCCCCACUUGCAUGCACGCAUGCCCUCUCUCAAAAUCUUUUAAAUUAAAAAAAAAUUAAAAUAAAAAACCAGGAUAGGGAAUAUUGAUUCAGGACUCGAGACUACUCUCCCAGAACUAGUAGCCCUAUGUUCGCUCCCAGCCCCACUCCCUUGCUUGCUUGGACUAUAGAACCCAGCAAAACUAAGCGAUCACUUUCCUGGCCUUCCUCGCAAGUAGGGGUGUCCAUCUAAUCCAGUCUGGCCAAUAAGAUCUGGGUAGAAUUCAGCUGAGUGGGAUGGGGGUGGAGUGGUGGUUUGGGGAACGCUUUUGCUUUUCUGAUAGAAAGGGACAGCUGCAGCUGGCUCUGGCCGUCCCCUUUCUUCCUGCCCCAAUUGGGCAUGAUGCCUGGAAUAGGAGCUGCCAUUUUGCAACCAGGAAGGAGAGGCCAAGAGAAUCACAGCUAUGCUGGCUCUGGACCCCAUGAGCUGCUGAACAAAUGCUAACAGCUGCCUGCUCCGGACUUUGUGUUCUGUGAAAAAAUUGAAAAUUCUAUUUGUUCAUUAUGCUUCCUUAUAGCUGAAAGCCUUCCUGACUGAUACAACCAGUAUAAACCAUUACUUGUCAUGGAUGGGCAAAAAAAAGGUAGUGGGGAUAGGGGUAUAAGGAUUUUCCUAAGUCUAGUGAAUUCAUCAGAAAGAAGCUGUAGAGGGGCGCCUGGGUGGCUCAGUCAGUUAGGCAUCUGCCUUCAGCUCGGGUCAUGAUCCCAGGGUCAUGAGAUCGAGUCCCACAUCGGGCUCCCUGCUCAGAAGGGAGUUUGCUUCUCCCUCUCCCUCUGCCCCUCCCCCGCUCACAUGCGCACACACUCUUCUCUCACUCUCUCUCAAAUAAAUAAAAUCUAAAAUAAUAAAUAAAUAAAUAAAUAAUCUGUAGACACUUGUUCUCAAAAGCAAGGGAGGUAUCGAGUCCUGCUAGGGUCAAGUCAAGAUGACACAGAAGCUGACUUGAGGAGACUUCACUGGCCAAGGAGGAGACAAUUUGAGCAUUGGAAAACAAUGCCUACAAUGGAUUAAAUUGAAUUAAGAGUGGGUAAAGGAAGACAACCAAGCACUCCUCCUGCCUUUCUGGUAUGAACUGUAUUUCAGAGCAACCAAAGAGAUAAUAAGGGGUUCUUUAUAGAAGAAUUCCAGCUAAUAAAGACAGAAGGAAUGAUAGAGUUAGAAAAACCACCACACUGGAACACCUAAUGAAAUAAAGAAUCCAGGCAGCCACCAUCAAUAACUAUUAGGUGAAAGGUUGACAGGGAACCUUUGGAUGGACCAUGCUGAUAACACCCGAACCCACUGAUCAGUUUUUACAUCUCUAAAAGUAGGGCAGUCAGACACGGUGCACCUCAUGAUGUAAUACAUCAGAAAAUACAAGGCAUCUGUGAAGUUUUCUAGCCAAAAAAAAAUUUUAACAAGAAUCUAACCCAGUUUACAGUAAAUACAAGAACAAGUUGAAUGAUACUAGGAGGAAACAAUCAGCCAAAUCCAGAAUGUAGGAUAUCGUACAGGACAAUGACUCAUUUCUCCCCUUCCUCAAGUAAAUGGCAUAAAAACAGGGCAGGGAGAAGAAUUUACAGAGCAAAAGAGACUUUCAAUUAAAUAUGAUGUGUAGAUCUUAUUUGGAUCCUGAUUUGAAUGAAACAACUAUAAAAUUAUUAUUGGAACUAUUUAGGAAAAUUUGGUUUGUUCUGGGUAUUGUAUCACAUGAAAAUGGCAUUGUGGUUAUGUUUUUUAAAAAGUUAUUCUUUGAUAGAGAUACCUACUGUAACAUUUAGGGAUGAAAUGAAAUGAUGCCUAGAAUUUGCUUUAAACUAUUUGAGCAAAGCCAAACAAAAAUUGUGUUGUGUGCGAUGGGGAGGUUAAGACGAGACAAUUCAGGGGUUUAUUGUAUUUUGUUCUCCACUUUUAUGUAUGGUUGAACAUUUUGUAUAAAUUUUUUAAAGAUAAUACUAUUUUAAUUGGGUUUUCCUGCAUUGUAGAUGCUAAUAGCAACAAAAAUGAGAAAGCAAUUUAAAAAGAACAAUCCUGUCAAAGUCCCUAAAUUCGUUUCCUUCCUUCACAGUGUUAUUUUCAUAAAAGCUAAAAAAAUGCUACAAUCAAAGCUAGGAUAUAAAACAGUGUCAUGUGACUGUACUUGAAAGCAUGGGAUGUUAGGGGCACUUUAGAGACACUAGUCCUGCUCAGCACACUUUCCAUGUUCUUCUCCACGUGUGGAAUACCCACGUUGGUUCUCCACUCUGUUCCUGCAUGUUGCCAAGAGCACCUUGCUCUUUCCAUUGACUUGUAAUGACUUGUCCAUCCUCUUUCACCAGACUAUGAGCCAUCCCCUCCCUCACUCUCAUCAAGGACCAAAAAUCAGUGCCACAUAUGCCAUUUCCAAUGCUCCCUCAACCCCCAACCCCUCACAAAAAAUUCAUAGUGUCUCUGCCAUGACCCUCUUGCCUCUUCCUAGAAGACUUUACUCCAAUUUGUUUUAAGCAGGGGAGAUUAUAAGUAAUUAUAUUACAUAGACAACUGUGCUGUUUUUAAAACUAGCAACAACAAUACAUGAGAUCUGUUUUUAAAACUAGCAACAACAAUACAUGAGAUCCUUAGCACUAGUAACUCUAGUUACUUAGAGCUAGGAACUCUUCCUUUAUUUCUCCUCUAGCCUCUAACUUGCUAAAUCAAGAAAAGGAAACCAGGGGCGCCUGGGUGGCUCAGUCGGUUAAGCGACUGCCUUCGGCUCAGGUCAUGAUCCUGGAGUCCCGGGAUCGAGUCCCGCAUCGAGUCCCGCAUCGGGCUCCCUGCUCGGCGGGGAGUCUGCCUCUCCCUCUGACCCUCCUCCCUCUCAUGCUCUCUGUCUCUCAUUCUCUCUCUCUCAAAUAAAUAAAUAAAAUCUUUAAAAAAAAAAAAAAAAAAGAAAGAAAGAAAAGGAAACCAGGAAAUAUCCUAAUGUUUCUUGAAUUUUGGUCCCAAAGUCAUGGGCAUUGUGUUAUAUGUGGCGAUUCACUCCUAACUGAAAAUAACCCUGGUUUCCUCUGAGCUUUGAUAACCACUCUGAGCCAGCCUUUGGUGAGAGGUCGGUCAUACUUAGGUAGUACAUUCAGCUGACCUUUAAGGAAAGACCUAUCAUUUUUCUGAUACCCCCAAAGUUACAAAUCACAGUGAUGGAAAGGCAAACUGGAUAUCUGUCUCCUAUCCUCAUUGUUGACUUCUAUGUCUCUCAGGUCUUAGCUGCAAUGUCAUAGCCUCUGAUUUACCUCCUCCCCAAUCUGGAUUGGGUGGUCUCCUUUGUGUUCCCAUAACACAUCAUGGGCCAUGUGGCAUGGCUCUUCCAACACAAGAGUACAAUCAUCUCUUACCUUUACUCAGGAUUACAAGCUCCUCC